GUUUGCCGCGUCUGCUGUGAAAGCCCGGGGCUUACCCCGGGUGUGCAGUGGGUACGGGCAGACUAGAGUGCAGUAGGGGAGACUGGAAUUCCUGGUGUAGCGGUGAAAUGCGCAGAUAUCAGGAGGAACACCGAUGGCGAAGGCAGGUCUCUGGGCUGUUACUGACGCUGAGGAGCGAAAGCAUGGGGAGCGAACAGGAUUAGAUACCCUGGUAGUCCAUGCCGUAAACGUUGGGCACUAGGUGUGGGGGACAUUCCACGUUUUCCGCGCCGUAGCUAACGCAUUAAGUGCCCCGCCUGGGGAGUACGGCCGCAAGGCUAAAACUCAAAGGAAUUGACGGGGGCCCGCACAAGCGGCGGAGCAUGCGGAUUAAUUCGAUGCAACGCGAAGAACCUUACCAAGGCUUGACAUGGACCGGACCGCUGCAGAGAUGCAGCUUCCCUUCGGGGCUGGUUCACAGGUGGUGCAUGGUUGUCGUCAGCUCGUGUCGUGAGAUGUUGGGUUAAGUCCCGCAACGAGCGCAACCCUUGUCCUAUGUUGCCAGCACGUAAAGGUGGGGACUCAUGGGAGACUGCCGGGGUCAACUCGGAGGAAGGUGGGGAUGACGUCAAAUCAUCAUGCCCCUUAUGUCUUGGGCUUCACGCAUGCUACAAUGGCCGGUACAGUGGGUUGCGAUACUGUGAGGUGGAGCUAAUCCCUAAAAGCCGGUCUCAGUUCGGAUCGAAGUCUGCAACUCGACUUCGUGAAGUUGGAGUC
This 756-nucleotide ribosomal RNA is filed under the name uncultured Nesterenkonia sp. Its description in RNAcentral is "bacterial SSU rRNA". It matches the Rfam family "Bacterial small subunit ribosomal RNA", at positions 578 to 1333 of the family's 1533-position model. Lineage: Bacteria; Bacillati; Actinomycetota; Actinomycetes; Micrococcales; Micrococcaceae. The record is from RNAcentral.